UGGGCAGUUGGUGAGAGCUGCUGGUGUGGGGCAGGAGAAGCCAUAAGGCACUAAAAAUAACAGCACACCUCACAUCUAUCUGGAUGGCUGUUAUCAAAAGAACAGAAAGUAAUGCUGAAUUGAAUGGUCUUAAAAGAGUGAACAUGUAUUGCAGAUGCCGUGAGAGCUAUGAUGGUGAAACUGCUGAUCUUCCUAGUACUUUAAAAAAGACUUUCUACAAAGAUCCUUUCUAUUUUGUGUGUUUGUUGUUGCAAAUAAGUACUUGAUUAGAGGCCAAGCGAAAGCUGGUGGUUUUUAUCUCAUGAAGGUUAGGAUCUGUUUUGUUUUCCAUGGAUGCUAGAAGUUGUGAAUGGAAAAAUGAACAUCAUCUUUGAGUAAAGACAUUUU
RNAcentral lists this long non-coding RNA (387 nucleotides) under Homo sapiens (human). RNAcentral describes it as "HSALNT0404055". The record is from RNAcentral. Lineage: Eukaryota; Metazoa; Chordata; Mammalia; Primates; Hominidae.